RNAcentral lists this ribosomal RNA (520 nucleotides) under uncultured Glomus. RNAcentral's name for it is "SSU rRNA". It matches the Rfam family "Eukaryotic small subunit ribosomal RNA", at positions 569 to 1091 of the family's 1831-position model. Lineage: Eukaryota; Fungi; Glomeromycota; Glomeromycetes; Glomerales; Glomeraceae. The record is from RNAcentral.
AGCAGCCGCGGUAAUUCCAGCUCCAAUAGCGUAUAUUAAAGUUGUUGCAGUUAAAAAGCUCGUAGUUGAAUUUCGGGGUCAGUAGGUUGGUCGUGCCACGGGUAUGAACUGGUCUCACUGAUUCCUCCUUCCUGAUGAACCGUAAUGCCAUUAAUUUGGUGUUGCGGGGAGACUGGACUGUUACUUUGAAAAAAUUGAGUGUUUAAAGCAGGCUAACGCUUGAAUACAUUAGCAUGGAAUAAUGAAAUAGGACGUUCGGUCUUAUUUUGUUGGUUUCUAAGAUUGACGUAAUGAUUAAUAGGGAUAGUUGGGGGCAUUAGUAUUCAAUUGUCAGAGGUGAAAUUCUUGGAUUUAUUGAAGACUAACUACUGCGAAAGCAUUUGCCAAGGAUGUUUUCAUUAAUCAAGAACGAAAGUCAGGGAUCGAAGACGAUCAGAUACCGUCGUAGUCUUAACCAUAAACUACGCCGACUAGGGAUCGGAUGAUGUUAAUUUUUAAUGUACUUCAUUCCGCGCCUUAC